RNAcentral lists this ribosomal RNA (425 nucleotides) under uncultured bacterium. Its description in RNAcentral is "bacterial SSU rRNA". It matches the Rfam family "Bacterial small subunit ribosomal RNA", at positions 28 to 453 of the family's 1533-position model. The record is from RNAcentral.
GACGAACGCUGGCGGCGUGCUUAACACAUGCAAGUCGAACGGUGACGAGGAGCUUGCUCCUCCGAUCAGUGGCGAACGGGUGAGUAACACGUGAGCAACCUGCCCCAGACUCUGGGAUAACAGUUGGAAACAGCUGCUAAUACCGGAUACGAGACGGAGAGGCAUCUCUACCGUCUGGAAAGUUUUUCGGUCUGGGAUGGACUCGCGGCCUAUCAGCUAGUUGGUGAGGUAAUGGCUCACCAAGGCGACGACGGGUAGCCGGCCUGAGAGGGCGACCGGCCACACUGGGACUGAGACACGGCCCAGACUCCUACGGGAGGCAGCAGUGGGGAAUAUUGCACAAUGGGCGAAAGCCUGAUGCAGCGACGCCGCGUGAGGGAUGACGGCCUUCGGGUUGUAACCGUACUUUCAGCAGGAAGAAGACG